This 385-nucleotide long non-coding RNA is filed under the name Homo sapiens (human). RNAcentral's name for it is "long intergenic non-protein coding RNA 1676". The record is from RNAcentral. Lineage: Eukaryota; Metazoa; Chordata; Mammalia; Primates; Hominidae.
GUUCACCACUUUGUGUGUCCAAGGACCACCUACUUUUUACAUGUGACAAGAACUACCCACCUCCACUCUUCAGGAUAGAACAUGCUGAAGAAAAGAGUUGCAAUGAGAAAAUAUAUGGGAACAAAAUACCUAUGCAAUGCAGAAGUCUGCAUAACUGAACCACUCAGAGGAAAAAGGUGCUCUUCCUCACUCUCUGGCUUGCUCACUUUCUGGGAAGACAUUUGUCAUACAGUGAGAUACCCUACGAAAAGUCUAAAAUUGCAAGAAGUGAGAGGCUCCAGACAAUAGCCAGAUUGCCAUUUCAGGACACCUCCUACAUCUGAGGAAAUAUGCAUUGAUCUUGCAGUACUUUUCUCCUCCAAAUAAAAGUCAGUAUGAUAACAAC